UGGGGAAUCUUGCGCAAUGGCCGCAAGGCUGACGCAGCGACGCCGCGUGAGGGAUGACGGCCUUCGGGUUGUAAACCUCUGUUGCCCGGGACGAACAAGCUCAUUCGUGGGCUCUGACGGUACCGGGUGAGGAAGCACCGGCUAACUCCGUGCCAGCAGCCGCGGUAAUACGGAGGGUGCGAGCGUUGUCCGGAAUCACUGGGCGUAAAGGGCGCGUAGGCGGUUCUUCAAGCGUGUGGUGAAAGUCCGGGGCUCAACCCCGGAUCGGCCGUGCGAACUGGGGGACUUGAGCACUGUAGAGGCAGGUGGAAUUCCGGGUGUAGCGGUGGAAUGCGUAGAGAUCCGGAAGAACACCAGGGGCGAAGGCGGCCUGCUGGGCAGUGGCUGACGCUGAGGCGCGACAGCGUGGGGAGCAAACAGG
This 421-nucleotide ribosomal RNA is filed under the name uncultured bacterium. RNAcentral's name for it is "bacterial SSU rRNA". It matches the Rfam family "Bacterial small subunit ribosomal RNA", at positions 355 to 776 of the family's 1533-position model. The record is from RNAcentral.